ACGCCGAGUCGCUCGAAUGAGCGAGCCGGGGACCCACCGUCUUGGACGAGACACGGGGUGAAUCCGUUAACGCGGUAGGGCAGUCAUCGGCCCGAACCCGACAGCUAACCCGGUAGGCGCCGACGA
RNAcentral lists this small RNA (126 nucleotides) under uncultured Stackebrandtia sp. RNAcentral's name for it is "ydaO/yuaA leader". It matches the Rfam family "c-di-AMP riboswitch aptamer (ydaO/yuaA leader)", at positions 11 to 126 of the family's 134-position model. Rfam says of the family: This family represents a conserved RNA structure found upstream of the ydaO and yuaA genes in Bacillus subtilis and related genes in other bacteria. The ydaO/yuaA element is thought to act as a genetic "off" switch for the ydaO and yuaA genes in its native state. Lineage: Bacteria; Bacillati; Actinomycetota; Actinomycetes; Glycomycetales; Glycomycetaceae. The record is from RNAcentral.